AACGUAGGGGGCGAGCGUUGCCCGGAUUCACUGGGCGUAAAGCGGGUGUAGGCGGUUCGUUAAGUCGGAUGUGAAAUCUCCGAGCUCAACUCGGAAACUGCAUCCGAUACUGGCGAACUUGAGGACGGUAGAGGUCGGUGGAAUGACGGGUGUACCGGUGAAAUGGACAGAUAUCCGUCGGAACACCAGUGGCGAAGGCGGCCGACUGGGCCGUUCCUGACGCUGAGACCCGAAAGCCAGGGUAGCGAACAGG
Molecule: ribosomal RNA, 253 nt
Filed under: uncultured bacterium
Lineage: Bacteria
Description: partial 16S ribosomal RNA
Rfam family: Bacterial small subunit ribosomal RNA
Source: RNAcentral